Molecule: ribosomal RNA, 473 nt
Filed under: uncultured bacterium
Lineage: Bacteria
Description: partial 16S ribosomal RNA
Rfam family: Bacterial small subunit ribosomal RNA
Source: RNAcentral
GACGAACGCUGGCGGCGUGCUUAACACAUGCAAGUCGAACGGUAAGGCCCUUCGGGGUACACGAGUGGCGAACGGGUGAGUAACACGUGGGUGAUCUGCCCUGCACUUCGGGAUAAGCCUGGGAAACUGGGUCUAAUACCGGAUAGGACUCCGGACUGCAUGGUCUGGGGUGGAAAGCUUUUGCGGUGUGGGAUGGGCCCGCGGCCUAUCAGCUUGUUGGUGGGGUGAUGGCCUACCAAGGCGACGACGGGUAGCCGGCCUGAGAGGGUGACCGGCCACACUGGGACUGAGAUACGGCCCAGACUCCUACGGGAGGCAGCAGUGAGGAAUAUUCCACAAUGGGGGAAACCCUGAUGGAGCGAUGCCGCGUGCAGGAAGACGCUUUUCGGAGUGUAAACUGCUUUUAAUAGGGAAGAUUGUGACGGUACCUAUAGAAUAAGGACCGGCUAACUACGUGCCAGCAGCCGCAGUAA